Molecule: long non-coding RNA, 126 nt
Organism: Diceros bicornis minor
Lineage: Eukaryota; Metazoa; Chordata; Mammalia; Perissodactyla; Rhinocerotidae
Exons: 2
Source: RefSeq, a predicted model, not a curated record
ACAAGAUUUGGGAGAAGAUAAUUUAGGUCAUUUCCAAGAAAAAUUCACAGAAAGGACUCUGACAUUUACACUGAAGUACAGGCUUCUGAUAAACUUUCUGAUCAUAAAACUGAACUUGGUAAGAAA